This 235-nucleotide ribosomal RNA is filed under the name uncultured Glomus. RNAcentral describes it as "partial 18S ribosomal RNA". It matches the Rfam family "Eukaryotic small subunit ribosomal RNA", at positions 548 to 785 of the family's 1831-position model. The record is from RNAcentral. Lineage: Eukaryota; Fungi; Glomeromycota; Glomeromycetes; Glomerales; Glomeraceae.
UUGGAGGGCAAGUCUGGUGCCAGCAGCCGCGGUAAUUCCAGCUCCAAUAGCGUAUAUUAAAGUUGUUGCAGUUAAAAAGCUCGUAGUUGAAUUUCGGGGUCAGUAGGUUGGUCGUGCCACUGGUAUGCACUGGCCUUACUGAUUCCUCCUUCUUGAAGAACUGUGAUGUCAUUUACUUGGUGUUGCAGGGAAACAGGACUGUUACUUUGAAAAAAUUAGAGUGUUUAAAGCAGGC